RNAcentral lists this ribosomal RNA (1503 nucleotides) under Salmonella enterica. RNAcentral's name for it is "partial 23S ribosomal RNA". It matches the Rfam family "Bacterial large subunit ribosomal RNA", at positions 1292 to 2778 of the family's 2925-position model. The record is from RNAcentral. Lineage: Bacteria; Pseudomonadati; Pseudomonadota; Gammaproteobacteria; Enterobacterales; Enterobacteriaceae.
GAAUGCUGACAUAAGUAACGAUAAAGCGGGUGAAAAGCCCGCUCGCCGGAAGACCAAGGGUUCCUGUCCAACGUUAAUCGGGGCAGGGUGAGUCGACCCCUAAGGCGAGGCCGAAAGGCGUAGUCGAUGGGAAACGGGUUAAUAUUCCCGUACUUGGUGUUACUGCGAAGGGGGGACGGAGAAGGCUAUGUUGGCCGGGCGACGGUUGUCCCGGUUUAAGCGUGUAGGUGUGUGUUCCAGGUAAAUCCGGUUCACUUUAACACUGAGGCGUGACGACGAGGCACUACGGUGCUGAAGCAACAAAUGCCCUGCUUCCAGGAAAAGCCUCUAAGCAUCAGGUAACAUCAAAUCGUACCCCAAACCGACACAGGUGGUCAGGUAGAGAAUACCAAGGCGCUUGAGAGAACUCGGGUGAAGGAACUAGGCAAAAUGGUGCCGUAACUUCGGGAGAAGGCACGCUGACACGUAGGUGAAGUGAUUUACUCAUGGAGCUGAAGUCAGUCGAAGAUACCAGCUGGCUGCAACUGUUUAUUAAAAACACAGCACUGUGCAAACACGAAAGUGGACGUAUACGGUGUGACGCCUGCCCGGUGCCGGAAGGUUAAUUGAUGGGGUCAGCGCAAGCGAAGCUCCUGAUCGAAGCCCCGGUAAACGGCGGCCGUAACUAUAACGGUCCUAAGGUAGCGAAAUUCCUUGUCGGGUAAGUUCCGACCUGCACGAAUGGCGUAAUGAUGGCCAGGCUGUCUCCACCCGAGACUCAGUGAAAUUGAACUCGCUGUGAAGAUGCAGUGUACCCGCGGCAAGACGGAAAGACCCCGUGAACCUUUACUAUAGCUUGACACUGAACAUUGAGCCUUGAUGUGUAGGAUAGGUGGGAGGCUUUGAAGUGUGGACGCCAGUCUGCAUGGAGCCGACCUUGAAAUACCACCCUUUAAUGUUUGAUGUUCUAACGUGGACCCGUUACCCGGGUUGCGGACAGUGUCUGGUGGGUAGUUUGACUGGGGCGGUCUCCUCCUAAAGAGUAACGGAGGAGCACGAAGGUUGGCUAAUCCUGGUCGGACAUCAGGAGGUUAGUGCAAUGGCAUAAGCCAGCUUGACUGCGAGCGUGACGGCGCGAGCAGGUGCGAAAGCAGGUCAUAGUGAUCCGGUGGUUCUGAAUGGAAGGGCCAUCGCUCAACGGAUAAAAGGUACUCCGGGGAUAACAGGCUGAUACCGCCCAAGAGUUCAUAUCGACGGCGGUGUUUGGCACCUCGAUGUCGGCUCAUCACAUCCUGGGGCUGAAGUAGGUCCCAAGGGUAUGGCUGUUCGCCAUUUAAAGUGGUACGCGAGCUGGGUUUAGAACGUCGUGAGACAGUUCGGUCCCUAUCUGCCGUGGGCGCUGGAGAACUGAGGGGGGCUGCUCCUAGUACGAGAGGACCGGAGUGGACGCAUCACUGGUGUUCGGGUUGUCAUGCCAAUGGCACUGCCCGGUAGCUAAAUGCGGAAGAGAUAAGUGCUGAAAGC